Molecule: long non-coding RNA, 1038 nt
Filed under: Nicotiana benthamiana
Lineage: Eukaryota; Viridiplantae; Streptophyta; Magnoliopsida; Solanales; Solanaceae
Description: long non-coding RNA (NBEN_LNC036392)
Source: RNAcentral
UGACACCAAAUUUUAGACUUCCAGCACAUAAAGAGUGUCAGAAUCUAUUUUUCCUUUUCUAGUAAUAAUCUUUUUUUUUAUAACCCAAAAAUCCUCGAGAGCCAGUGGUAUACGGUUUGCAACCUGGUGGAUAGUUGGCCUACCCCUCUGCCCUUCUCUUUUAAUAUGAGGCAGGGUUUAACCAGUGAUGUCCACCUAACCUAUACACCACGUACUGCCCUUUUACCACUACCAAAACUCUUGGGGGCUCUUAUACAACAACAACAACCCAGUAUAAUUCCACUUAGUGGGGUCUGGGGAGGGUAGUGUGUCGUAGACCUUACCCCUACCCUAGGGUAGAGAGGUUUCCAAAUAGACCCCCGGCAUCCUUGCCUCCAAGAACUUCCCACCUUGCUCUUGGGGAGACUCGAACUCACAACUUCUCGGUUGGAAGUGGGGGGUUCUUACCAUCANNNNNNNNNNNNNNNNNNNNNNNNNNNNNCACCUUGCUCUUGGGGAGACUCGAACUCACAACCUCUCAGUUGGAAGUGGGGGUUGCUUACCAUCAGAGCAACCCCUCUUGUCGGGGCUCUUAUCUAAUAACAAAAUAAAAUUUACUUAUAAAAAAAUCGAUCAAAUUUUUCUUCUUAUUUGAGUAGGAUGUCCAUACAAAACCAAAAUAGUUGAAAAUCUAAAAACCUCUGUCCAUUUAACUGGUUUCAUGAUGAACAGACUUUCCUAUGAAGUUGUUAAUGUGAGAUAUUAUGAUGUUUUAACAGAUCCUGGCAUAUUGGGGGGUUGGGGGAGUCAGUUAUUCCCUUAUAGGGUUGUUUGGCUUACAACUGGGAUUAUAGUGUGAGCAUUAUAAUAUGGAGAUUAAAUAUAAAAAAAAAAUUAUUUACUUUUUUCAGUAGAUGUCUGGUUUAUUGGAUUAACAAUUGGAUAUACGGGAUAUAGUAUAAAACAUAUUUUUUAGUUUACACUACAUAAACUUGGGGGGACGUCACCCAUCGGAUAGGAGCGGGGUGGUCAAAGUGGAGGCUUGCUUCAGGGGUCCUN